RNAcentral lists this long non-coding RNA (364 nucleotides) under Elaeis guineensis (African oil palm). RNAcentral's name for it is "long non-coding RNA (EGUI_LNC058058)". The record is from RNAcentral. Lineage: Eukaryota; Viridiplantae; Streptophyta; Magnoliopsida; Arecales; Arecaceae.
GAUCGAAGAUCGGUUGUCGUGGGAGCUAGUAGCGAUCUGGCCGGUGGGUCCUGUCCCGCUGUAGAAGCUCGUCUGGGAUCCGGCUACGAAGAAGCUCGGCUGAAGUCUACCUCCCGCUAUAGGAGUUCGGAGUAGAUCGCUCGCUGUAGGAGUUCGGAGUAGACCGUUCGCAGUAGAAGUUCGGAGUAGACCGCCCGCUGUAGGAGUUCGAAGUAGAUCAUCCGCUGUAGGAGUUCGGAAAAUGGUUGGUCACUGUAGAAGGUCGGCUGACAGUGAGGCCUAGAGAGCCUUUGGAACGGCAUGGUAGAUGGAUGGAGAAGCUCAUUGUCAGAGAAGUCUGGAAGCUUGGAUGGUCGGGGGGGGG